CUACGGGGUGCUGCAGCUGAGGAUCUUUUACAAUGCGCGCAAGUGUGAUAAAGCGAGCCAGAUUGUUGUUCUUAGAACAACUUUUGUUUGCUGUAAAAAGGCAGACGAAUAAGGACUGGGUAAGACCGGUGCCAGCCGCCGCGGUAAUACCGGCGGUCCAAGUUGCAUCCAUUUUUAUUAGGUCUAAAACAUCCGUAGCUUGUUUUGUAAGUUUCUUGUGAAAUCUUAUGUCUCAAACAUGAGGCUUGCAAGAAAUACUGCAUUGCUAGAGACCGGAAGACGUAAGGAGUAUGAUUGAGGUAGCGGUAAAAUGCGUUAAUCUUAAUCAGACUAACAAUGGCGAAGGCACCUUACGAGUACGGAUCUGACAGUGAGGGAUGAAGGCUAGGGGCGCAAAACGGAUUAGAUACCCGAGUAGUC
This 420-nucleotide ribosomal RNA is filed under the name uncultured archaeon. Its description in RNAcentral is "partial 16S ribosomal RNA". It matches the Rfam family "Archaeal small subunit ribosomal RNA", at positions 323 to 746 of the family's 1478-position model. The record is from RNAcentral.